This 253-nucleotide ribosomal RNA is filed under the name uncultured bacterium. RNAcentral describes it as "partial 16S ribosomal RNA". It matches the Rfam family "Bacterial small subunit ribosomal RNA", at positions 524 to 776 of the family's 1533-position model. The record is from RNAcentral.
UACGUAGGCAGCAAGCGUUGUUCGGAGUCACUGGGCUUAAAGGGCGCGUAGGCGGGCUUGCAAGUGCUUUGUGAAAUCCCAUGGCUUAACCAUGGAAUUGCUUGGCAUACUGCGGGUCUUGAGGUCGGUAGAGGCUGCUGGAACUCUAGGUGGAGCGGUGAAAUGCGUAGAUAUCUAGAGGAAUACCGAUGGCGAAGGCAGCCCCCUGGGUCAAUACUGACGCUCAUGCACGAAAGCGUGGGGAGCAAACAGG